UCACCAAGUCUGAUGCCAACUAGAGCCAAAG
This 31-nucleotide non-coding RNA is filed under the name Rattus norvegicus (Norway rat). The record is from RNAcentral. Lineage: Eukaryota; Metazoa; Chordata; Mammalia; Rodentia; Muridae.